Molecule: ribosomal RNA, 119 nt
Filed under: Pteropus vampyrus (large flying fox)
Lineage: Eukaryota; Metazoa; Chordata; Mammalia; Chiroptera; Pteropodidae
Source: RNAcentral
GUCUACGGCCAUGCCUCCCUGAACAAGCCCGAUCCCGUCUGAUCUCAGAAGCUAAGCAGGGUCGUUCCUGGUUAGUACUUGGGUGGGAGCCCACGUAGGAAGACCAGGUGCGGUAGGUG